GACGAACGCUGGCGGCGUGCUUAACACAUGCAAGUCGAGCGGUAAGGCCUUUCGGGGUACACGAGCGGCGAACGGGUGAGUAACACGUGGGUGAUCUGCCCUGCACUUCGGGAUAAGCCUGGGAAACUGGGUCUAAUACCGGAUAUGACCUCCUAUCGCAUGGUGGGUGGUGGAAAGAUUUAUCGGUGCAGGAUGGGCCCGCGGCCUAUCAGCUUGUUGGUGGGGUAAUGGCCUACCAAGGCGACGACGGGUAGCCGACCUGAGAGGGUGACCGGCCACACUGUGACUGAGACACGGCCCAGACUCCUACGGGAGGCAGCAGUGGGGAAUAUUGCACAAUGGGCGAAAGCCUGAUGCAGCGACGCCGCGUGAGGGAUGACGGCCUUCGGGUUGUAAACCUCUUUCAGCAGGGACGAAGCGCAAGUGACGGUACCUGCAGAAGAAGCACCGGCUAACUACGUG
Molecule: ribosomal RNA, 462 nt
Filed under: uncultured bacterium
Lineage: Bacteria
Description: partial 16S ribosomal RNA
Rfam family: Bacterial small subunit ribosomal RNA
Source: RNAcentral